This 426-nucleotide ribosomal RNA is filed under the name uncultured bacterium. RNAcentral describes it as "bacterial SSU rRNA". It matches the Rfam family "Bacterial small subunit ribosomal RNA", at positions 1051 to 1476 of the family's 1533-position model. The record is from RNAcentral.
GUCGUCAGCUCGUGUUGUGAGAUGUUGGGUUAAGUCCCGCAACGAGCGCAACCCUUAUCCUUAGUUGCCAGCACGUAAUGGUGGGAACUCUGGGGAGACUGCCGGUGAUAAACCGGAGGAAGGUGGGGACGACGUCAAGUCAUCAUGGCCCUUACGGGAUGGGCUACACACGUGCUACAAUGGCGCAUACAAAGGGCAGCAAGCCAGCGAUGGUUAGCGAAUCUCAUAAAGUGCGUCGUAGUCCGGAUUGGAGUCUGCAACUCGACUCCAUGAAGUCGGAAUCGCUAGUAAUCGUGGAUCAGAAUGCCACGGUGAAUACGUUCCCGGGCCUUGUACACACCGCCCGUCACACCAUGGGAGUGGGCUGCACCAGAAGUGGUUAGUUUAACCUUCGGGAGAACGAUCACCACGGUGUGGUUCAUGACU